This 492-nucleotide ribosomal RNA is filed under the name uncultured bacterium. RNAcentral describes it as "partial 16S ribosomal RNA". It matches the Rfam family "Bacterial small subunit ribosomal RNA", at positions 29 to 507 of the family's 1533-position model. The record is from RNAcentral.
AGUGAACGCCGGCGGUAGGCCUAACACAUGCAAGUCGAACGGCAGCACAGUAAGAGCUUGCUCUUACGGGUGGCGAGUGGCGGACGGGUGAGGAAUACAUCGGAAUCUACUUUUUCGUGGGGGAUAACGUAGGGAAACUUACGCUAAUACCGCAUACGACCUACGGGUGAAAGCAGGGGAUCUUCGGACCUUGCGCGAUUGAAUGAGCCGAUGUCGGAUUAGCUAGUUGGCGGGGUAAGGGCCCACCAAGGCGACGAUCCGUAGCUGGUCUGAGAGGAUGAUCAGCCACACUGGGACUGAGACACGGUCCAGACUCCUACGGGAGGCAGCAGUGGGGAAUAUUGGACAAUGGGCGCAAGCCUGAUCCAGCCAUACCGCGUGGGUGAAGAAGGCCUUCGGGUUGUAAAGCCCUUUUGUUGGGAAAGAAAAGCAGCAGGUUAAUACCCCGCUGUUCUGACGGUACCCAAAGAAUAAGCACCGGCUAACUUCGUG